AACGAACGCUGGCGGCAUGCCUAACACAUGCAAGUCGAACGAGACCUUCGGGUCUAGUGGCGCACGGGUGCGUAACGCGUGGGAACCUGCCCUUAGGUUCGGAAUAACUCCCCGAAAGGGGUGCUAAUACCGGAUAAUGUCUUCGGACCAAAGAUUUAUCGCCUUUGGAUGGGCCCGCGUUGGAUUAGCUAGUUGGUAGGGUAAAAGCCUACCAAGGCGACGAUCCAUAGCUGGUCUGAGAGGAUGAUCAGCCACACUGGGACUGAGACACGGCCCAGACUCCUACGGGAGGCAGGAGUGGGGAAUAUUGGAAAAAGGGCGAAAGGCUGAACCAGCAAUGCCGCGUGAGUGAUGAAGGGCUUAGGGUUGUAAAGCUCUUUUACCCGGGAUGAUAAUGACAGUACCGGGAGAAUAAGCUCCGGCUAACUCCGUG
Molecule: ribosomal RNA, 433 nt
Filed under: uncultured bacterium
Lineage: Bacteria
Description: partial 16S ribosomal RNA
Rfam family: Bacterial small subunit ribosomal RNA
Source: RNAcentral